AAGAAGUUAGUUAAAUAAUAACAUUAGUAUGUCAUACUAAAAUUAUUAAUAAAUAAUACAUCUUA
RNAcentral lists this transfer RNA (65 nucleotides) under Myrmecophilus sp. RNAcentral's name for it is "tRNA-Asp". The record is from RNAcentral. Lineage: Eukaryota; Metazoa; Arthropoda; Insecta; Orthoptera; Myrmecophilidae.